GUAGUAUCUCUUUUGAACUCUCUUCUCUUAAUGCAGAUCACAAUUCACCUUCUCAGCCCAAGGAAAAUAGCCUUGGCCAGAACCAUCACCCGGAGGAAACAAUCCACAAGUUGGCCAUGCAGCUGAAGAACAUUGGAGACAGCGUUGAUCACUGGACGGCUCAAGAGAACGCUCAGCGGGAAGGCAGAGAGGCACUGGCUCAGUUUGUCGUGGUUUUCCAUGCGGGAGGUCACGCACUGCUGCGCUUCCUCUGGAACAACCACUGGAUGUAAGAGGAACAGACAUCCGAGCUCUGCCGUCCCCCUGCGCCGAGAACCAGUCCCUGCACAGGUGGGAAGAAGGCCCUCCUCCGCUCCCUGUUUUCACUGUCACUGUUGGUUUAUGCGGCUUCGUUGGAGAGCUGCAGGCUCACUGACCAUUUGUCUGUUCAGAGCAGCCGCUGUGCCAUGUCUGCGAGUGCCCCACCUCAUGGUAGAGCUGCAGGCGCGCUCAGGAGGCGCUGCCAGGGUCCCCGGGGCAUCUGCUUCCCUGGGGGAACCUGAGCCUCGUCCUCAAACCAGAGGUCACAGCAAUGGACGCUUCUCCUGGGCCCUCCCUGGGCGCCCAGCCACCUGUUGGCCCCACUCCGGGUGCCCAUGUCCAGAUCCGCAGCGCCCGUUCUUCUCAUUCCUUUCUGUCCACCCAUGUUCCCUGUCUUCCCCUUCUAGGAGCAUUACAGGUGUUAAGGAAGUUUGUUGUUAUAAAUUAUAAGUUCUGUAUAUGGUUGAGUUAUUUGUUAUUUAAAAAUGAAAUAAAUAUUGUUGUUUUAUUGAGCAUGAAA
Molecule: long non-coding RNA, 820 nt
Organism: Myotis lucifugus (little brown bat)
Lineage: Eukaryota; Metazoa; Chordata; Mammalia; Chiroptera; Vespertilionidae
Exons: 2
Source: RefSeq, a predicted model, not a curated record